RNAcentral lists this long non-coding RNA (353 nucleotides) under Homo sapiens (human). Its description in RNAcentral is "HSALNT0000347". The record is from RNAcentral. Lineage: Eukaryota; Metazoa; Chordata; Mammalia; Primates; Hominidae.
CCUUAAGGAAGCGGUGCGGAAGCAGGGACAAGAAGCCGGUGAGCCCCGCCCGGGCUGCUGCAGGGUCUGAGCCCCGGACAGGGUGUGGUGGUAGCUCCCACCGGGUCCCACUGGGCCCCUCACCUGCUUCUCUCUCCCCCCAGCGGGAUCUCUUCGGUCCCCCAGGACCUCCAGGUGCAGAAGUGACCGCGGAGACUCUGCUUCACGAGUUUCAGGAGCUGCUGAAAGAGGCCACGGAGCGCCGGUUCUCAGGGCUUCUGGACCCGCUGCUGCCCCAGGGGGCGGGCCUGCGGCUGGUGGGCGAGGCCUUUCACUGCCGGCUGCAGGGUCCCCGCCGGGUGGACAAGCGGACG